UGGGACAGUGAUUGGUGCCGAGAAUGGGCCA
Molecule: non-coding RNA, 31 nt
Filed under: Homo sapiens (human)
Lineage: Eukaryota; Metazoa; Chordata; Mammalia; Primates; Hominidae
Source: RNAcentral